GGGGGUGACCGGUUUUGACAGCAGGCAGAGUCGGAUGGUAAGCAUGCCGAGCGUUGUAAGGGAGCUCGUAAAUAUCAACUUUCAAACUACAAAUGGCGAUAAUAGCUAUGCACUCGCUGCCUAAUUUUUAGAGUAAAAAUUGGCUUAAUCGGGGCGCCCGAGGAGGUGUUCCGACGAGUAUCCCGCCGAUCGUCCCGCUCUUUGGCGAAAGGCAUACGGGGUAUCAUUCCAAGGAGAUAGUCCGGAGAAAGUCUGUAACUCCGGGCGAAACGAACAGACUAAGGGUAUCGCUUUGCCUGCUUCUCGCAGGGCGGUACCCCGACAAUCAAGCAGAAGCUAAGCAUGUAGAAAGCCGUUUGGUUCCUUGUUUGGACGAGGGUUCGAAUCCCUCCACCUCCAC
Molecule: transfer-messenger RNA, 400 nt
Filed under: chicken gut metagenome
Rfam family: transfer-messenger RNA
About the family: Bacterial tmRNA, also known as 10Sa RNA or SsrA, is named for its dual tRNA and mRNA-like properties. Its role is to liberate the mRNA from a stalled ribosome.
Source: RNAcentral